Molecule: unclassified non-coding RNA, 290 nt
Filed under: uncultured fungus
Lineage: Eukaryota; Fungi
Description: partial contains small subunit ribosomal RNA, internal transcribed spacer 1, and 5.8S ribosomal RNA
Rfam family: Eukaryotic small subunit ribosomal RNA (bases 1-73)
Source: RNAcentral
UCAAACUUGGUCAUUUAGAGGAAGUAAAAGUCGUAACAAGGUCUCCGUUGGUGAACCAGCGGAGGGAUCAUUACCGAGUUCUAACAAACUCCCAAACCCCUGUGAACAUACCUUUUGUUGCUUCGGCGGGAUCGCCCCGGGCGCCUCUCUCGAGGUGCCCCGGAACCAGGCGCCCGCCGGGGACACUAAACUCUUGAUUGUUAUAGUGGCAUUCUCUGAGUGAAUUAUACAAAUAAAUCAAAACUUUCAACAACGGAUCUCUUGGCUCUGGCAUCGAUGAAGAACGCAGC